AGUCAAUAGAUACCCCGGUAGUCCACGCCCUAAACUAUGAACACUAGGUGUUGGAGGUCUCGACCCCUUCAGUGCCGUCGCUAAACGCAUUAAGUGUUCCGCCUGGGUAGUACGGCCGCAAGGUUAAAACUCAAAGGAAUAGACGGGGACCCACACAAGCGGUGGAGCAUCUGGUUUAAUUCGAUAGUAAGCGAGGAACCUCACCAAGACUUGACAUCCUGGGAAGUCUGCCGAAAGGUGGAUGUGCCGCAAGGAACCCGGUAACAGGUGCUGCAUGGUUGUCGUCAGCUCGUGCCUUGAGGUGUUCGGUUAAGUCCGUAAACGAGCGCAACCCUUGUCUCAAGUUGUAUUUUUCUUGAGAGACUGCCGGCUCCAAGUCGGAGGAAGGUAAGGAUGACGUCAAAUCAGCAUGGCCCUUAUGUCUUGGGCUACACAGGUGCUACAAUGGCCGAUACAGUGAGAUGCAAAGAGGCAACUCUGAGCUAAUCCCAAAAAUCGGUCCAAGUUCGGAUUGAGGGCUGCAACUCGCCCUC
This 533-nucleotide ribosomal RNA is filed under the name uncultured bacterium. RNAcentral describes it as "bacterial SSU rRNA". It matches the Rfam family "Bacterial small subunit ribosomal RNA", at positions 775 to 1319 of the family's 1533-position model. The record is from RNAcentral.